This 325-nucleotide ribosomal RNA is filed under the name uncultured Methanosaeta sp. RNAcentral describes it as "bacterial SSU rRNA". It matches the Rfam family "Archaeal small subunit ribosomal RNA", at positions 1016 to 1338 of the family's 1478-position model. The record is from RNAcentral. Lineage: Archaea; Methanobacteriati; Methanobacteriota; Methanomicrobia; Methanotrichales; Methanotrichaceae.
GUGAAGCAUCCUGUUAAGUCAGGCAACGAGCGAGACCCACGCCCCACACGUUGCCAGCGUACUCUCUGGAGUGACGGGUACACUGUGGGGACCGCCGCUGCUAAAGCGGAGGAAGGAAUGGGCAACGGUAGGUCAGUAUGCCCCGAAUAUCCCGGGCUACACGCGAGCUACAAUGGUUGGUACAAUGGGUAUCUACCCCGAAAGGGGACGGGAAUCUCCUAAAACCAAUCUUAGUUCGGAUUGAGGGCUGCAACUCGCCCUCAUGAAGCUGGAAUCCGUAGUAAUCGCGUUUCAACAGAACGCGGUGAAUACGUCCCUGCUCCUU